Molecule: non-coding RNA, 116 nt
Filed under: chicken gut metagenome
Description: FMN riboswitch (RFN element)
Rfam family: FMN riboswitch aptamer (RFN element)
About the family: The RFN element is a highly conserved domain that is found frequently in the 5'-untranslated regions of prokaryotic mRNAs that encode for flavin mononucleotide (FMN) biosynthesis and transport proteins. This element is a metabolite-dependent riboswitch that directly binds FMN in the absence of proteins.
Source: RNAcentral
UAUCUUCAGGGCAAGGUGUAAUUCCUGACCGGCGGUAAAGCCCGCGACUCUUGCGUAUUGUGAGAUUGAUUUGGUGUAAUUCCAAGGCCGACAGUAUAGUCUGGUAUAAAGAAGAU